UAACUGAACCAAGAAGAUAAUAAUUAAUCAAUCUGAAUUUGUGGCAAAUCUCAUUAUAGAAACAGAUUGCACGUGAAUCAUAUACAAACUAAGACAACAAAUUCAUGCUUAAAAAUUGCAUGAUAAUAACCACAAAGAAAAAGGAAAAGAAAAAGGUAAAAAAACUAAAGAGCUGCUAUUAUAUCAAUACUAGAGAGAUUAUUUAAGUCAUAGAGCUGUUAUAGGACCUUUUGAAUUAGGUUAUUAACUGAACCAAGAAGAUAAUAAUUAAUCAAUCUGAAUUUGUGGCAAAUCUCAUUAUAGAAACAGAUUGCACGUGAAUCAUAUACAAACUAAGACAACAAAUUCAUGCUUAAAAAUUGCAUGAUAAUAACCACAAAGAAAAAGGAAAAGAAAAAGGUAAAAAAACUAAAGACAUGUUCAAGGAAGGGUGAGACAGACAAGCUAUAUAGUAAAUAGCCUAUCUCUUCAGUUUCUAGUUUAGCUCUCUAAAUGGUGAUCUCUCUCCAAUGACAGCCUGG
RNAcentral lists this long non-coding RNA (521 nucleotides) under Jatropha curcas. RNAcentral's name for it is "long non-coding RNA (JCUR_LNC002372)". Lineage: Eukaryota; Viridiplantae; Streptophyta; Magnoliopsida; Malpighiales; Euphorbiaceae. The record is from RNAcentral.